UGGGGAAUAUUGCACAACGGGCGCAAGCCUGAUGCAGCCAUGCUGCGUGUAAGAAGAAGGCCUUCGGGUUGUAAAGUACUAUCAGCGGGGAGUAAGGGAGUAAACUUAAUACCUUUGCUCAUUGACGUUACCCGCAGAAGAAGCACCGGCUAACUCCGUUCCAGCAGCCGCGGUAAUACGGAUGGUGCAAGCGUUAAUCGGAAUCACUGGGCGUAAAGCGCACGCAGGCGGUUUGUUAAGUCAGAUGUGGAAUCCCCGGGCUCAACCUGGGAACUGCAUCUGAUACUGGCAAGCUUGGGUCUCGUAGAGGGGGGUAGAAUUCCAGGUGAAGCGGUGAAAUGAGUAGAGAUCUGGAGGAAUACCGGUGGCGAAGACGGCCCCCAGGACGAAGACUGACGCUCAGGUGCGAAAGCGUGGGGAGCAAACAGG
Molecule: ribosomal RNA, 429 nt
Filed under: Chloroflexota bacterium
Lineage: Bacteria; Bacillati; Chloroflexota
Description: Chloroflexi bacterium partial 16S ribosomal RNA
Rfam family: Bacterial small subunit ribosomal RNA
Source: RNAcentral